AGUAGAUACAACACAACAUUACUGGGGCUAGGUGAGAGUAGAUACAACACAACAUUACUGGGGCUAGGUGAGAGUAGAUACAACACAACAUUACUGGGGCUAGGUGAGAGUAGAUACAACACAACAUUACUGGGGCUAGGUGAGAGUAGAUACAA
Oncorhynchus tshawytscha (Chinook salmon) is the source of this 155-nucleotide long non-coding RNA. RefSeq lists it as uncharacterized. The transcript has 2 exons. Lineage: Eukaryota; Metazoa; Chordata; Actinopteri; Salmoniformes; Salmonidae. The record is from RefSeq and is a predicted model, not a curated record.